AGAACGAACGCUGGCGGCAUGCCUAACACAUGCAAGUCGAACGAACCCUUCGGGGUUAGUGGCGCACGGGUGCGUAACGCGUGGGAAUCUGCCCUUAGGUACGGAAUAACUCAGCGAAAGUUGUGCUAAUACCGUAUGAUGUCUUCGGACCAAAGAUUUAUCGCCUAGGGAUGAGCCCGCGUUGGAUUAGCUAGUUGGUGAGGUAAAGGCUCACCAAGGCGACGAUCCAUAGCUGGUCUGAGAGGAUGAUCAGCCACACUGGGACUGAGACACGGCCCAGACUCCUACGGGA
This 292-nucleotide ribosomal RNA is filed under the name uncultured soil bacterium. RNAcentral describes it as "partial 16S ribosomal RNA". It matches the Rfam family "Bacterial small subunit ribosomal RNA", at positions 26 to 346 of the family's 1533-position model. The record is from RNAcentral.